Long non-coding RNA from Micropterus salmoides (largemouth bass), 991 nucleotides. RefSeq lists it as uncharacterized. The record is from RefSeq and is a predicted model, not a curated record. The transcript is spliced from 4 exons. NCBI's taxonomy places the organism in Eukaryota, Metazoa, Chordata, Actinopteri, Centrarchiformes, Centrarchidae.
GAGGCUCUUCUGUUAUCUCUGUUCCAAAUGUUCCAAUAUGUUCCAAUUUCAUAUCCAGUGGUAGCUCCCGGCGAUGUCCCGCCUCCCUGGUCUCCCUCCAGUCGCUGCGCAGUAUCCGUCUCGGCGUGUCCCGGCCACGGGAAAACCGACAGCCAAUCAGAAGGCUCUAUUUGUUCCUGCGCUGACAAACUGCCUGGGAGCCCCUCCUCCCCUUCAAUCAGUGGUGAACCAGGUGGAACAAAUCUUCCAGGCAAUCUGAGCGUGCCAGUAGCUGGCUCUGUUGUUGUCUUUAGACCGCAGUGGAAGGAGCAUUUAUAGCACCACAAAACCAAGGAAACUUGAUCUUUGUCAUUAAAGUGAUUGUGCAAGACCAAGCCCCCCACAAAACUGAAGGACAGCCGGUUUUUCAACUGCUUACUGCCCACCAAAGAUUGGUUAAUAAAAGACAAACAACUGAUCCCAUGGCUGUUGAGUGAAAUCCAGUUAAUAUCUUACCAAUUUCAUAGUAUCAAACUUUUGCGCAUCCAAUGAGAGACGCGGAUUUGUUCCAAAUUCUCAAUGUCCCGCCUCCAUUCUGCUGGUUUACCGCUGCGCGAGGGGCUCCACAUCUCUGGAGUCCUUCCACCUCAACGGGUUCAUCCCAGGGACCCGAGCUAAAGCGAAGCAUUUCCAGGCGUUCCUGGCCGAUGGACUGGUGAGGUGGAAUGAGGACCGCGCAGCUGCACCACCGACUGCAGCUGAGGGCCAGGGGAGCUCAUCGGCAUGGAGUUCCUGUACCAGCAGACGGGCAGAGUGCUUGAGGAUAUCAGCUUUGGACCCUGACACUCCGGACGAGGCCACUGCCGUUGAGUCGCUCGAGGAGGCCGUGGACGAGACUAUGUGAAGGACCCCACCGUCUUCGAGCCUGAUAUGGUGGCAGCAGGCGGGUCAGGUGAUCCAGCUGACCCUCCCAGACUCCGGGUGAGGCAGCCCAAGGGGCGGUUCAAGGCAG